This 581-nucleotide small RNA is filed under the name Cryptococcus neoformans H99. RNAcentral's name for it is "Cryptococcus neoformans var. grubii H99 hypothetical RNA". Lineage: Eukaryota; Fungi; Basidiomycota; Tremellomycetes; Tremellales; Cryptococcaceae. The record is from RNAcentral.
CUACAACAUACACAAUGCGUAUAUCCAUCCAACUAUUAGGAGCUAAUAGCCCAAUAAAUCUCAAUGUACACCUCUGGAAUCCUAUCAGGGAUGUUAAGGCCAAAUAUGAGCUCAAGGCAGAUAUUCAGGGCAAGCACUCGCCACAGACCGAACUACCAACGGAUGUUCUAUCAAGGCAGACAACUUGAGGAUCCCUGGCUGCUUUCGGACCGUAAUAUCCAGCACGGUUUUACAUUGCAUGCUCGCCUAGAGUAUAGCAGAGAUUCGCAUUUCAAGGUUGAGCUCAUGCUGGGAAAAAACACUAGCAGAUAGUACUGUUAAUGUGAUCCCCUGCUUCAAACAAUCGACUACUGAACGACCUCGAAUCAUCAGGGAACCGACCCUAAGGAAUCAUUUUCUUUUACCUAUAUUGUUAAACAAAAAAGAAUUGACAUGCCCUGAGAAGGAGGGGUCGGCCAUCAACAAUAAAAAAUCCAUCCCGAUUCAUUGUAGUACCGGUCCCAGCCUCAGCUAGCUCUAGUCACUCGUCGGCCGAAGAGAGCAAGACUGAAUACUUGACGGUAUUGUAUACCGGUAUUUAU